CGAACCGUGCGAACGUUGUUCGGAUUCGCUGGGCUUAAAGGGCGCGUAGGCGGCUGGCCACGUCAGGGGUGAAAUCUUUCGGCUCAACCGGAAACGUGCCCCUGAUACUGGCCGGCUUGAGGAGGGUAGGGGCGGAUGGAACUUCCGGUGGAGCGGUGAAAUGCGUAGAUAUCGGAAGGAACGCCGGUGGCGAAAGCGAUCCGCUGGACCCUUUCUGACGCUGAGGCGCGAAAGCCAGGGGAGCGAACGGG
Molecule: ribosomal RNA, 251 nt
Filed under: uncultured bacterium
Lineage: Bacteria
Description: partial 16S ribosomal RNA
Rfam family: Bacterial small subunit ribosomal RNA
Source: RNAcentral